AAACUGAAGAGUUUGAUCCUGGCUCAGAUUGAACGCUGGCGGCAUGCCUAACACAUGCAAGUCGAACGGUAACAGCAGAGCUUGCUCUGGCUGACGAGUGGCGGACGGGUGAGUAAUGCAUAGGAAUCUGCCCUAUAGUGGGGGACAACUACCGGAAACGGUAGCUAAUACCGCA
Molecule: ribosomal RNA, 175 nt
Filed under: Gammaproteobacteria bacterium
Lineage: Bacteria; Pseudomonadati; Pseudomonadota; Gammaproteobacteria
Description: partial 16S ribosomal RNA
Rfam family: Bacterial small subunit ribosomal RNA
Source: RNAcentral